This 550-nucleotide ribosomal RNA is filed under the name uncultured Methanospirillum sp. RNAcentral describes it as "bacterial SSU rRNA". It matches the Rfam family "Archaeal small subunit ribosomal RNA", at positions 325 to 879 of the family's 1478-position model. Lineage: Archaea; Methanobacteriati; Methanobacteriota; Methanomicrobia; Methanomicrobiales; Methanospirillaceae. The record is from RNAcentral.
ACGGGGUGCAGCAGGCGCGAAAACUUUACCAUGCGGGCAACCGUGAUAAGGAAACCCCGAGUGCCAGCACAGGCUGGCUGUCCACCAGUGUAAAUAACUGGUGAAGAAAGGGCCGGGCAAGACCGGUGCCAGCCGCCGCGGUAAUACCGGCGGCUCGAGUGGUGGCCGCUAUUACUGGGCUUAAAGGGUCCGUAGCUGGAUAUACAAGUCCCUUGAGAAAUCCGCCGGCUUAACCGGUGGGCGUUCAGGGGAAACUGUAUUUCUAGGGACCGGGAGAGGUGAGAGGUACUGCCGGGGUAGGAGUGAAAUCCUGUAAUCCCGGUGGGACCACCUAUGGCGAAGGCAUCUCACCAGAACGGGUCCGACAGUGAGGGACGAAAGCUGGGGGAGCAAACCGGAUUAGAUACCCGGGCAGUCCCAGCUGUAAACGAUGCGCGUUAGGUGUGUCAGUGACCACGUGUCACUGAGGUGCCGAAGGGAAACCGUGAAACGCGCCGCCUGGGGAGUACGGUCGCAAGGCUGAAACUUAAAGGAAUUGGCGGGGGAGCAC